Molecule: long non-coding RNA, 1013 nt
Filed under: Homo sapiens (human)
Lineage: Eukaryota; Metazoa; Chordata; Mammalia; Primates; Hominidae
Description: HSALNT0338981
Source: RNAcentral
UUUUUUUUUUUUUUUUUUUUUUUUUUUUACAUUUGACUAUUUUCUUGUUUAUUGGUAUUUCUUUGGGAGAUUUUUUUUUUUUUUUUUUUUUUGAGAUGGAGUUUCGUUCUUUUUUUUUUUAUUUUUUUUUUUUUUAUUGAUCAUUCUUGGGUGUUUCUCGCAGAGGGGGAUUUGGCAGGGUCACAGGACAAUAGUGGAGGGAAGGUCAGCAGAUAAACAAGUGAACAAAGGUCUCUGGUUUUCCUAGGCAGAGGUCCCUGCGGCCUUCCGCAGUGUUUGUGUCCCUGGGUACUUGAGAUUAGGGAGUGGUGAUGACUCUUAACGAGCAUGCUGCCUUCAAGCAUCUGUUUAACAAAGCACAUCUUGCACCGCCCUUAAUCCAUUUAACCCUGAGUGGACACAGCACAUGUUUCAGAGAGCACGGGGUUGGGGAUAAGGUGACAGAUCAACAGGAUCCCAAGGCAGAAGAAUUUUUCUUAGUACAGAACAAAAUGAAAAGUCUCCCAUGUCUACUUCUAUCCACACAGACCCGGCAACCAUCCGAUUUCUCAAUUUUUUCCCCACCCUUCCCGCCUUUCUAUUCCACAAAACCGCCAUUGUCAUCAUGGCCCAUCCCCAAUGAGCCGCUGGGCACACCUCCCAGACGGGGUCGUGGCCGGGCAGAGGGGCUCCUCACUUCCCAGUAGGGGCGGCCGGGCAGAAGCACCCCUCACCUCCCGGACGGGGCGGCUGGCCGGGCAGAGGGGCUCCUCACUUCCCAGUAGGGGCGGCCGGGCAGAGGCGCCCCUCACCUCCCGGAUGGGGCGGCUGGCCAGGCGGGGGGCUGAUCCCCCCACCUCCCUCCCGGACGGGGCGGCUGGCUGGGCGGGGGGCUGACCCCCCACCUCCCUCCCGGACUGGGCGGCUGGCCGGGCGGGGGGCUGACCCCCCACCUCCCUCCCGGACGGGGCGGCUGGCCGGGCAGAGGGCUCCUCACUUCCCAGUAGGGGCGGCCGGGCAGAGGAGCCCCUCAC